GAUGAAGAACGUAGCGAAAUGCGAUAAGUAGUGUGAAUUGCAGAAUUCAGUGAAUCAUCGAAUCUUUGAACGCACAUUGCGCCCUUUGGUAUUCCUUAGGGCAUGCCUGUUCGAGCGUCAUUUAAACCUUCAAGCUAAGCUUGGUGUUGGGUGACUGUCCGCUUCACGGCGGACUCGCCUCAAAAUUAUUGGCGGCCGGUACAUUGGCUUCGAGCGCAGCAGAAACGCGAACUCGGGCCCGUCGUAUUGGCUCCCAGAAGCUAUCUUCACAAUUUUGACCUCGGAUCAGGUAGGGAUAUCCGCUGAACUUAAGCAUAUCAAUAAGCGGAGGA
Molecule: unclassified non-coding RNA, 332 nt
Filed under: soil metagenome
Description: partial contains 5.8S ribosomal RNA, internal transcribed spacer 2, and large subunit ribosomal RNA
Rfam family: 5.8S ribosomal RNA (bases 1-120)
Source: RNAcentral